Molecule: transfer RNA, 76 nt
Filed under: Rhodospirillaceae bacterium
Lineage: Bacteria; Pseudomonadati; Pseudomonadota; Alphaproteobacteria; Rhodospirillales; Rhodospirillaceae
Also listed under: 4 other names
Description: tRNA-Thr
Rfam family: tRNA
About the family: Transfer RNA (tRNA) molecules are approximately 80 nucleotides in length. Their secondary structure includes four short double-helical elements and three loops (D, anti-codon, and T loops).
Source: RNAcentral
GCCGAUGUAGCUCAGUUGGUAGAGCAACGCAUUCGUAAUGCGUAGGUCCGCAGUUCAAGUCUGCGCAUCGGCACCA